RNAcentral lists this ribosomal RNA (253 nucleotides) under uncultured bacterium. RNAcentral describes it as "partial 16S ribosomal RNA". It matches the Rfam family "Bacterial small subunit ribosomal RNA", at positions 524 to 776 of the family's 1533-position model. The record is from RNAcentral.
UACAGAGGUGCCGAGCGUUAGGCGGAAUCACUGGGCUUAAAGCGUGUGUAGGCGGAUGCCUAAGUAUCUUGUGAAAUCCCCCGGCUUAACCGGGGAACUGCUUGGUAUACUGGGUGUCUUGAGCCACUUAGGGGCGACCGGAACAAACGGUGGAGCGGUGAAAUGCGUAGAUAUCGUUUGGAACGCCAAUGGUGAAAACAGGUCGCUGGGAGUGUGCUGACGCUGAGACACGAAAGCCAGGGGAGCGAACGGG